UGAGAAUGGUUCUGUGGGGCCCUG
This 24-nucleotide unclassified non-coding RNA is filed under the name Mus musculus (house mouse). RNAcentral's name for it is "oocyte_clustered_small_RNA4486". The record is from RNAcentral. Lineage: Eukaryota; Metazoa; Chordata; Mammalia; Rodentia; Muridae.